This 1244-nucleotide ribosomal RNA is filed under the name Formosatettix yunnanensis. RNAcentral describes it as "partial large subunit ribosomal RNA". Lineage: Eukaryota; Metazoa; Arthropoda; Insecta; Orthoptera; Tetrigidae. The record is from RNAcentral.
ACUGGAAGUGGGUCUGGAUUAUCGGGGUUUAAUGUAAUAUUAUUUUCAUUUACGUUGAAAAGUUUUUUGUGUGAUUCAAAAUGUCCUGAUUAUUAUUAUAUAAUUUUAUUUUUUGUUUAUUUAUGUUUCUAUUAAAGUUAUUUUUAUUUAUUAUGUUUGAGUAUUUUUUUUUGAAAUGAUUUUAUUUAUUAUAGUUUAUUUUUAAUGUAAAUGGGGUUUUUUAUUAUUAUAUAAGAAUUUUUAUAUAUUUUACCUUUUGUAUCAGGGUUGAUUAAAUAUUAGUUUUAGAUUAAUAUUUCUCGAAUUGGGGGGAUUUACAAUAUUAUGAUUUUUUAUGUUUCAUAAUGAUUAUGAAUUUUAUGGUGGUAGUGACAUGCUAGUCGUUCUUUAAUAUAUCUAGUUUUCUGAGAUAAAAUUAAAUUUUAAUGGGAUUUUAAACUUUAUUUAUUUUUGUUUUGUUUUUAAUUUUUAUUUAUAUUUUAGGGGUUAAGCUCUAGAUUUUAUUAUAAUUUUAUUUAUAGGUAUUUUUGUAUAGGCUUGUAAUCAGCCAUUAUUUAAAUGGCGUUUUAGUUUAAUUGAUUUUUUAAUUAUUUAAUGAUGAUUUAAGUUUCUUAUUGGAGUUUGGGUUUUAAUGUUAAUUAUUCACGAAUAAUGAUUAAAUUAGUAUAUUAUUUUUGUUUUAAAUAAAUUUUAUUUUAUUUUGUUAAAAGGAAUUCGGCAAUUUUUUAGUGUUUCCGCCUGUUUAUCAAAAACAUCUCUUAUAGCUUUUAUUUUAAGUUUGGCCUGCUCACUGAUUUUUGAAGAGCCGCGGUAUAUUGACUGUGCAAAGGUAGCAUAAUCAUUAGUGCAUUAAUUGUGUACUGGAAUGAAAGGUUUGACGAGAGACAUUCUGUCUCUUUUUAAUUUAUAUAAUUUUACUUUACAGUAAAAAGGCUUUAAUUGUUUUUUGUGACGAUAAGACCCUAUAGAGUUUAACUUUAAUGUAUUUUUGUAUUUUGGGGUUUUUUUAUUAUACUUUACUUAUUAUAAGUUUUGUUGGGGUGAUGUGAGUAAUAAUUAAACUGCUUAUUUUUGUUUUUCAUUGAUUUAUGUUUUUCUUGAUCUUGUAUUAUUGACAAUAAGAUAAAAUUACCUUAGGGAUAACAGCGCAAUUAUCUUUAAGAGUUCAUAUUGACAGGAUAGAUUGUGACCUCGAUGUUGGAUUAAGAUUAGUAAUUGGGUGCAGAUGCUUAAUUUAAUUGGUC